CCUACGGGAGGCUGCAGUGGGGGAUAUUGCACAAUGGGGGAAACCCUGAUGCAGCGACGCCGCGUGAGUGAAGAAGUAUUUCGGUAUGUAAAGCUCUAUCAGCAGGGAAGAAAAUGACAGUACCUGACCAAGAAGCCCCGGCUAACUACGUGCCAGCAGCCGCGGUAAUACGUAGGGGGCAAGCGUUAUCCGGAUUUACUGGGUGUAAAGGGAGCGUAGACGGUUAUGUAAGUCUGGAGUGAAAGCCCGGGGCCCAACCCCGGGACUGCUUUGGAAACUGUGUAACUGGAGUGCAGGAGGGGCAGGCGGAAUUCCUGGUGUAGCGGUGAAAUGCGUAGAUAUCAGGAGGAACACCGGCGGCGAAGGCGGCCUGCUGGACUGAAACUGACGUUGAGGCUCGAAAGCGUGGGGAGCAAACAGGAUUAGAUACCCUAGUAGUC
Molecule: ribosomal RNA, 440 nt
Filed under: uncultured bacterium
Lineage: Bacteria
Description: partial 16S ribosomal RNA
Rfam family: Bacterial small subunit ribosomal RNA
Source: RNAcentral